GCCAGCCUGGUAUAGUGGUUUGAGCAUUGGACUAUGACUCCGGAGGCCAGAGUUCGAAUCCCAGCUUGGCC
This is a non-coding RNA of Phrynosoma platyrhinos (Desert horned lizard), 71 nucleotides long. Lineage: Eukaryota; Metazoa; Chordata; Lepidosauria; Squamata; Phrynosomatidae. The record is from the annotation of a GenBank genome assembly.